RNAcentral lists this ribosomal RNA (253 nucleotides) under uncultured bacterium. Its description in RNAcentral is "partial 16S ribosomal RNA". It matches the Rfam family "Bacterial small subunit ribosomal RNA", at positions 524 to 776 of the family's 1533-position model. The record is from RNAcentral.
UACGGGGGGGGCAAGCGUUGUUCGGAAUUACUGGGCGUAAAGGGCUCGUAGGCGGCCAACUAAGUCAGGCGUGAAAUCCCUCGGCUUAACCGGGGAACUGCAUCUGAUACUGGAUGGCUUGAGUUCGGGAGAGGGAUGCGGAAUUCCAGGUGUAGCGGUGAAAUGCGUAGAGAUCUGGAGGAACACCGGUGGCGAAGGCGGCAUCCUGGACCGACACUGACGCUGAGGAGCGAAAGCCAGGGGAGCAAACGGG